Long non-coding RNA from Cervus elaphus (red deer), 1568 nucleotides. RefSeq lists it as uncharacterized. The transcript has 6 exons. The record is from RefSeq and is a predicted model, not a curated record. NCBI's taxonomy places the organism in Eukaryota, Metazoa, Chordata, Mammalia, Artiodactyla, Cervidae.
CCUCAGGCGGUCUGAUCCGGUGGACAGCCCGGCUCGCUGCCUGGAUUUGCCUUCUAGCGUCUCUGGCUGUGGUGAAAAAGGAAAUUCUCUCAGACGACAAGCACUGGUCACUUCCGAGGACUUCUGGAAAACGUGCUUCAGCUUCUGAGCAGCUGUGGUGUGGCUGUCUGUCUUAAGUCAGAUCUGCACGCUGGCUUCUGGGUGGAAUUUGGAUUUUUGCCUGCUUGGCCUUGCUUCAUUUCGGACAGUUCCUGACUCGGGAACUAGGCCCACCCUCCCUGCCAAGUAUUUGCCUCGUGUCUGCCUGGAGGAGGCGUGGGGGUGGAUGGCCCUUUGUGUGGACCACACGAAGCUUCCAGUCUACUCCAGGAACACAGGAGGAAGAUGGAGGGCCAGGAACCUCUCAUCGUGGAGCCAUUGCUUUGAAUCUCACUCAAGAGAUGAGGCUGAUGACGUGAGAUGUCCUUGGAGAUCGCUGUCCCCAAGGCAUGCAGUGGAGAGGGGGCCCGGACUUGUCCAGCCGGCAGGUAGGCCCAUGCCAGGACCUACCUGCUCAGAGGGCGUGACCACGAGCUCUGCUCCUCUACUGGCCAAGCCUGGCAGCAAUGCCCAUGAGCACCCUUUCCACGGAACGUGGAACAGUUAAGACGCUGGCUCACGAGGAAGCAUUAUGAGCACAGGCUUGCAACUGUGCAUCUCAUCUUCAUUCAGAAUCCACGGGAACAGCGCCCACCAAGACCAGCGCACGGGACCUUGGGGGCCGAUGUUUACUCAGUGGGAAAAAUGUGGAACUUCCUUAUCUGGUCCCCUGUCCUGAGGCCGAGGAGACGCGCCCCGCCCGCCAGGGGCAGCCCCAGCUCUAUCGAUUAGUGACUCAGGCUUUACAGGGGAGGGCGUGAUUCUGCAGGCUGCGAACGUGUGCUCUGCUGCAAACAGCCCGCCUCAGCCCUGCGUACACAUCCCACUGCACACGCGCCCACGACGGCUCUCCUCACGGCCUCGUCUUCAUCCUGAACGUGAUUUCAGGGGUACAGGCUCAUGGACUGUUGAGUUCUGUUCACAGUUUAGAAAAGUGAAAUGCAAACUUCCACUUGCAAAUGAACUGAGGUUUAGCGCGCUGAUAAAUAGCACGGGUCCGCCGCCCUGCCUUUCUGGAAAGCCACCACCCACGCGGAUUCAGGCUGUGCAAAGCUGGCCCAGGGCUGCGAGAUGCUGCUCCUCAGGGCUGACCCCUAUCCUGACGGGUGGCUGUCCCUUCAAGGGUCCCUGUUCGGACGGCAGGGACCCCUGAGUCUAUGGCCUCUGGCCUCCCCCAUGGCUCUGCAUGAGCUUGACUUAGCAGGUGCAAGAAAACCCACAGACCAGUGAGAUGGCCCCAGGCCCACCUUCUGAAUCCCCCCGCCUGGACGCUUAGGGUCUCUCUGCCUCAGGGUCCCGUCUGGGAAGAGGGCCGCCGGCCCCUGCCCCUUGGGUCCUGCCCCUCCACCGCCCCCCACCCUCACAUGGGCCUCCUCAAUCUCAUGGGUCUGUGUCUCCACGUGCCUGCCUCACUGAGUUUUUGAUGUGCU